This 270-nucleotide ribosomal RNA is filed under the name uncultured Sphingobacteriales bacterium. Its description in RNAcentral is "partial 16S ribosomal RNA". It matches the Rfam family "Bacterial small subunit ribosomal RNA", at positions 1114 to 1382 of the family's 1533-position model. Lineage: Bacteria; Pseudomonadati; Bacteroidota; Sphingobacteriia; Sphingobacteriales. The record is from RNAcentral.
GUUGCCAUCAGGUAAUGCUGGGGACUCUAAAGGAACUGCCUACGCAAGUAGUGAGGGAGGCGGGGAGUGACGUCAAAUCAGCACGGCCCUUACGUCCAGGGCUACACACGUGCUACAAUGGCCGAUACAGAGGGCAGCUACCUGGUGACAGGAUGCAAAUCUCCAAAGUCGGUCUCAGUUCGGAUCGGAGUCUGCAACCCGACUCCGUGAAGUUGGAUUCGCUAGUAAUCGCGCAUCAGCCAUGGCGCGGUGAAUACGUUCCCGGGCCUU